Non-coding RNA from Podarcis lilfordi (Lilford's wall lizard), 73 nucleotides. The record is from the annotation of a GenBank genome assembly. NCBI's taxonomy places the organism in Eukaryota, Metazoa, Chordata, Lepidosauria, Squamata, Lacertidae.
GGGGCCAUAGCUCAAUGUUAAGAGCAUCUGCCUUGAUUUCAGAAGGUCCCAGGUUCAAUCCCCAACAGCUCCA